CCUACGGGGUGCAGCAGUAGGGAAUAUUGCUCAAUGGGGGAAACCCUGAAGCAGCAACGCCGCGUGGAGGAUGAAGGUUUUAGGAUUGUAAACUCCUUUUGUGAGAGAAGAUAAUGACGGUAUCUCACGAAUAAGCACCGGCUAACUCUGUGCCAGCAGCCGCGGUAAUACGGAGGGUGCAAGCGUUACUCGGAAUCACUGGGCGUAAAGAGUGCGCAGGCGGGCUUGUAAGUCAGAUGUGAAAUCCUAUGGCUUAACCAUAGAACUGCAUUUGAAACUGUUAUUCUAGAGUAUGGGAGAGGUAGGUGGAAUUCUUGGUGUAGGGGUAAAAUCCGUAGAGAUCAAGAGGAAUACUCAUUGCGAAGGCGACCUGCUAGAACAUAACUGACGCUGAUGCGCGAAAGCGUGGGGAGCAAACAGGAUUAGAUACCCGAGUAGUC
RNAcentral lists this ribosomal RNA (440 nucleotides) under uncultured bacterium. Its description in RNAcentral is "partial 16S ribosomal RNA". It matches the Rfam family "Bacterial small subunit ribosomal RNA", at positions 338 to 795 of the family's 1533-position model. The record is from RNAcentral.